UGGCGGACGGGUGAGUAAUGUCUGGGAAACUGCCUGAUGGAGGGGGAUAACUACUGGAAACGGUAGCUAAUACCGCAUAACGUCGCAAGACCAAAGAGGGGGACCUUGGGCCUCUUGCCAUCGGAUGUGCCCAGAUGGGAUUAGCUAGUGGUGGGGUAAAGGCUCACCUAGGCGACGAUCCCUAGCUGGUCUGAGAGGAUGACCAGCCACACUGGAACUGAGACACGGUCCAG
RNAcentral lists this ribosomal RNA (233 nucleotides) under uncultured bacterium. RNAcentral describes it as "partial 16S ribosomal RNA". It matches the Rfam family "Bacterial small subunit ribosomal RNA", at positions 96 to 334 of the family's 1533-position model. The record is from RNAcentral.